AGAGUUUGAUCAUGGCUCGAGGACGAACGCUGGCGGCGUGCUUAACACAUGCAAGUCGAACGGUAAGGCCCUUCGGGGUACACGAGUGGCGAACGGGUGAGUAACACGUGGGUGAUCUGCCCUGCACUUCGGGAUAAGCCUGGGAAACUGGGUCUAAUACCGGAUAGGACCAUGGACUUCACGGUUUGUGGUGGAAAGCUUUUGCGGUGUGGGAUGGGCCCGCGGCCUAUCAGCUUGUUGGUGGGGUAAUGGCCUACCAAGGCGACGACGGGUAGCCGGCCUGAGAGGGUGUCCGGCCACACUGGGACUGAGAUACGGCCCAGACUCCUACGGGAGGCAGCAGUGGGGAAUAUUGCACAAUGGGCGCAAGCCUGAUGCAGCGACGCCGCGUGAGGGAUGACGGCCUUCGGGUUGUAAACCUCUUUCAAUAGGGACGAAGCGCAAGUGACGGUACCUAUAGAAGAAGCACCGGCCAACUACGUG
This 483-nucleotide ribosomal RNA is filed under the name uncultured bacterium. RNAcentral's name for it is "bacterial SSU rRNA". It matches the Rfam family "Bacterial small subunit ribosomal RNA", at positions 8 to 507 of the family's 1533-position model. The record is from RNAcentral.